This 73-nucleotide transfer RNA is filed under the name Danio rerio (zebrafish). RNAcentral describes it as "tRNA-Arg (TCT) (tRNA-Arg-TCT-18-1)". It matches the Rfam family "tRNA". From Rfam's summary of the family: Transfer RNA (tRNA) molecules are approximately 80 nucleotides in length. Their secondary structure includes four short double-helical elements and three loops (D, anti-codon, and T loops). Lineage: Eukaryota; Metazoa; Chordata; Actinopteri; Cypriniformes; Danionidae. The record is from RNAcentral.
AGCUCUGUGGCGCAAUGGAUAGCGCAUUGGACUUCUAAUUCAAAGGUUGUGGGUUCGAGUCCCACCAGAGUUG